Molecule: long non-coding RNA, 3343 nt
Organism: Aquila chrysaetos chrysaetos
Lineage: Eukaryota; Metazoa; Chordata; Aves; Accipitriformes; Accipitridae
Exons: 3
Source: RefSeq, a predicted model, not a curated record
GGGGGGGGGGGGCGGCGUGCUGGGCGACGGGGGCGGAAAGCGGGGACGUCGGAGGACACGCUAUAGGGGAUCGUCCCCGAGCUGCUCGCACCUCUGAAGAAGCUGAGCUCUUUCCAUACAGGCUUUCAACAUGCUGUCACAGUAAAACCUCCCUCAGAAGCCUGGCCUGGUGUGCAUCAGUGGAUGUUAGGAGAAAACUUGAGUCUGUCUGUGUUCUGGCACACACCAAAUUACACCUCUGUUUGCAGGUGAGUAAGCCAAGCGCACCAUACGCUGGGCUGCAGCUUCAUGUGUGGGCCUGAGAUAGAUGAGUUGCAGCCUUUCGUGGGAGGGCCAAAAAGGCGAAUGGAUUUUGUCAGCGCCAUGGGAUUGUGCUGCUUUUGUAAUUCUACAGGUGUGCUGCAGUGAGGUACAGGCAGCUUGUAUCUGAUGCAUCUUAUGUAUGAUGCACCUUUUAUCGGUGUGGAUGCACAAUGCCAACUCAGCAAGGCAGGCUGUAGCCAGUCUCACCUGGUCUCCUCUGGUACAAACAUACAGAGAUGCCUUAAAAGAAUCACAGGGAGAAAUGCCAAUGCAUUUCUCAGGCAGAGUGUGUUUCUCUAUUAAGAAAGGCAGUGGCAUGGCACUCUUCAAAAUGCAAUUGAGAAAAGCACUCCAGAAAAUUGUUUUUCAGGCAGAUGUUUUAAUUGUCUAAACAGUCAACAGAACGGGUCCUGACUAUUAAACUGAAAGGGGGAAGUCUCUUAUAGCUUACAGCACAAAAGGAAAAACAGCAGGUACUCAUCCAGUUGUGUCACAGAACUUUUUCCCUGGCUCUUGCUUAUUCCCUUACUUAAAAACAGCAGUUCAGCUCUGUGGAGCACUGUAAGACAAUCAGUUAAAGCCCCUGGUGGGUAAGCAUUGGAACAAUACUGAUAAAACGAGUACCUGGGAAUAGAUGCCACAGCAAAUUAGUUUUGUACUAAUGCUCCCUUCUGCGAUGACAUAAGGAAACUGUGCUUGAGUGAAGUAUCUUUUAAUCUAUUAAAUUUGUGUAAACAGAGAAUUAAACUGUAAAUCACAAUUUAAGUGGUAGAGAUUCAUGAGGAGGUUUUGGGAAGACUUUAAUCACCUUCAUCAAUCCUCUGCUGUUGGUGAAAGUAUCUACUGCUAUCAUUUGCUUGAGCUAGUUAGCCCUCAUUCAUUCUACAUGUUAGAGGAUAAGGAUACCUUAAUAUAUUAGCCUCAAAUGGAGAAAAAAAUCCACAACUCUGAAAAAUGACCGGUAGAUGAUUAUGGUUUUUUAAUACACAAAGGAACACUAAUAAUAAACUGAGUGGAGUUAUAUUUUUAAACCAAAAAGGUCAUGGGUAUUCGGGUAUCUCCUCAAGAUUCUUUUAGGUCAACAUCACUACUGAAAGGUUACUUGUCCCCUGAAAAUAUCUGAUAUUCUUGAGAUUCUGCUUCCAUCAUCCUUAUAUAGUGUUCUUUUAAUGUAAGGUUAUGUUUUGUUAUCUACUGCGUAUGGUACUUACCUUCACAGAUGACAAUGCUGAGGAUGUUUUUUCCAAAAGAAAAACUUCAUUUAGUUGUCAGUCCUAAUACUUACAGGCACUUUCUUAUUUACAUAGCCACAACUGAAUAAUAGUUUCAGUGGGUGUUUGAACAACUAGUUGCAAAAUUGGGCGCUCAGAUCUCCUUGUAGAAAGGAACAGUAUUUCUAUAGUACACUCCACAAAGGUCUAUGAAAUAUAUAAGACAAUAUAAAUAAUGCUCACCUCCCAGUGUUGUUUAUUAGGACAUCACUUCUUAAAACAUAUCCCUAUUUGAUUUUGCUAAGGCCAGUCCAGUCUCUAAUUAAUAAUUAACAUCAAAAUACUAAAACUUGACAUAGGAGCUAGUCAAAAUUCAAAACAUUUUUCACUGACAUUACAGCUGCUGCAGCCAUGUUUCAUGAAGUUGCUUUUUUCAAGUAUGCAAUAAGAUCAGCUCUUUCAUUCUGCUUUUUAAUUCCAGCAAAAAUCAUUUUUGUACCGGGAAUUUAUUUCUUAGGGUUCCCCAAAUACUCCAUCAGUGUAUUCUCACUCCAGUCAACUCCUGAAAAACAAAAUCAUUGUAAAAUACAAGGCUGGCCCAACGUAAUAUAUUUAUGAAAAUAUCAACAAUCUCAAAUCAAAGGUGCGACGCUCCUGAACAUGUGCCUAGAAUCCAAGAGGAAUGUAAACAUAAAUGAUAUAUAAUAUAAAAUGCACAAGGUAUACAUUGUCUUUGUGUCACUUUAGUAAGUCACAUAUAAAUCCAAAAGGAUGCAUCAUGGAGAGUUGCAGUUCUUUGCACCAUUUUACACACAACUACUUACUACUUUUAAACUAUGUAAGUAUCUUCAUAAUUCCAGUAUCCAGAAGAUCCAACUUUAAUUUCAUACAGUUGUUGAAAAUGAGCAUCUACAGAUUGACAUGAAAUUACCAAGGCUGUGCUCCAUUGGAGGGCAUUAGUAAAAGGGUUGUCAAUGAGGUUGUCAAGAGUUCCCGGAAUCUCUUGACUGAAGUUGAAAAACUGUUAGUGUUCCCUUCCAACCCUGCUAAAACCUGUCUCUGACAACAGAAGCCUGCUGUUGUGCUGAAGACUACUGAAAUACCUGUAACCACGUGUUCAAGUUUCUCUUCUGUCCUCCAGAGCUGACUCUUCCCACUGUCUAAAGUGGAUUUAGGCAUCACUUUGUUGGCUUUCUUUUAAAAACUUGUACUAACAUCUGUAUGAUUUGUUCACUAAUUUUUAAUGAAAAAAAUAGUUAAUAUAUGCUGACGAUGUUUUGUAUGAAGGGAGUCCCAGUGUAAAGUGAAUGUCACAAAACAUUUCCUAGAAAUCACAGAAAAAUAAAAAAGUCAGCCAAUUUUAAAGCACCUUAGUAACCAGAAAAAAAACAGGACUGUAUUGUAAUUAGUAGCUUGAUUCAAAUAAUAUAAUUUAUAUUUAAAUAAUAUAAAUAAAAACAGUGAAACCCACACAGAAUUACUUUCCAUUUCUAGAUGUUCAACUGCUUUUCAAGACUGUCUGUAUGAAAAACACAAGACAAGUCAUAGCUUACUAGUAGGUGACAGUAUUUAGUCAAGUGUUAUGAGCAAAACAAGUGCAGCACACCACGAUGCCAGUAGAGGGUAGUGACCAGCAAACAACAUCUAGAAGCACUCUUAGGAAACAAAUUAAAAUCUGUCCAUUGAUACUACAGAGUUCUGGGAAAGUUAUAUACCUUCUGACCUGGUAUGCUGAAUAUUGGUAAAAUUUCUUUUUAAUAUAGGGACCGAGGAUUUUUGUUUCUGAAACUAUAGUUCAGAUUCAUCUGCAGUAAUGCAAAAUAGACAGC